Molecule: ribosomal RNA, 301 nt
Filed under: uncultured bacterium
Lineage: Bacteria
Description: partial 16S ribosomal RNA
Rfam family: Bacterial small subunit ribosomal RNA
Source: RNAcentral
CAGCCGCCGCGGUAAUACAGAGGGUGCAAGCGUUAAUCGGAAUUACUGGGCGUAAAGCGCGCGUAGGUGGUUUGUUAAGUUGGAUGUGAAAUCCCCGGGCUCAACCUGGGAACUGCAUCCAAAACUGGCAAGCUAGAGUAUGGUAGAGGGUGGUGGAAUUUCCUGUGUAGCGGUGAAAUGCGUAGAUAUAGGAAGGAACACCAGUGGCGAAGGCGACCACCUGGACUGAUACUGACACUGAGGUGCGAAAGCAUGGGGAGCAAACAGGAUUAGAUACCCCCGUAGUCCCUGUCUCUUAUAC